AUUGAACGCUGGCGGCAGGCCUAACACAUGCAAGUCGAACGGUAACAGGAAACAGCUUGCCGUUUCGCUGACGAGUGGCGGACGGGUGAGUAAUGUCUGGGAAACUGCCUGAUGGAGGGGGAUAACUACUGGAAACGGUAGCUAAUACCGCAUAACGUCGCAAGACCAAAGAGGGGGACCUUCGGGCCUCUUGCCAUCGGAUGUGCCCAGAUGGGAUUAGCUAGUAGGUGGGGUAACGGCUCACCUAGGCGACGAUCCCUAGCUGGUCUGAGAGGAUGACCAGCCACACUGGAACUGAGACACGGUCCAGACUCCUACGGGAGGCAGCAGUGGGGAAUAUUGCACAAUGGGCGCAAGCCUGAUGCAGCCAUGCCGCGUGUAUGAAGAAGGCCUUCGGGUUGUAAAGUACUUUCAGCGGGGAGGAAGGGAGUAAAGUUAAUACCUUUACUCAUUGACGUUACCCGCAGAAGAAGCACCGGCUAACUCCGUG
Molecule: ribosomal RNA, 490 nt
Filed under: uncultured bacterium
Lineage: Bacteria
Description: partial 16S ribosomal RNA
Rfam family: Bacterial small subunit ribosomal RNA
Source: RNAcentral